Molecule: long non-coding RNA, 1776 nt
Filed under: Lactuca sativa (garden lettuce)
Lineage: Eukaryota; Viridiplantae; Streptophyta; Magnoliopsida; Asterales; Asteraceae
Description: long non-coding RNA (LSAT_LNC006753)
Source: RNAcentral
UGAUGAUGAUGGUCUGGAACAACAAUCUGCAUUACAUAAAAUGUUGAAUUUUUUAGUGUUUUUUUUUUAUUUUUGGACAAAUUUACCCCUCAUGUUGGGAGGCAGUGAGUAUUAAAGAUAGUGUUGGAUCUUGCUACAUCGGCUAUGCAACUCGUGAAUCUACAUGGAAGAAAUAGUAACUUACAUCAUUUCAUUCUGUUAUGCCCCAACCACCUGCCAUACACACACAAACUUGCUAUCUGCUAUUAGGUGGAAGGUAAAAGCAAAAAAAAUGAAAUAAGGGAUAAAGGGGUUGCAUAGAUAUGAAAAUAGUUGUAAUAAGUUAAGCAUAAAUAAUUUGCAAACAUGUAAAUGGAAAAAGAUUUUGAAGGGGCCACAAUAUUAAAAAAAGCCCAUGAUUAAUUCAAAAUUUCUAAGCAGAAACGUUAAAAAUAGCAUUGAUAUCGCUUUAAAUUAGAUUAAACAUCUAAUGUUAUUUGUACGACAUAAGCCAAUAGAGCAUGAAUUUGAGUCGUAUUGACAUGAGAAGAGUUAAAGUCGCUACCUUUUUGCAGUUACCAUCUAGUGUUUUAAUGGAUUUUAGUAUUAGGAUCCCUCAACAAAUGAUUAUGUUUGUUUGAUCUUGAAUGGGGGUUGCGUUUGAAUAACUUGGUACACGUGAAAAUAUCGAUUUCCAUGAUUACAUUAUUAAGCAUUCAAAUCUGUAACACUUAAAAGAAGCAAAUAGAAGAAACAGAAAUAGCAAAAAUAUUCAUAUUGGUUUUUCUCAGAUAACACUCUGGCAAAGUCCCAUCCAAAAGUGCUCACAGCUAUACUUAUUACUGAAAUACCUACAAUAUAUACAUACAAAAGGGGAUUGUAAAAGAAAAGACUUUUCCACCUUAAAGUCACUCAUACAGUCCUGUUUUGCUUACUCCACUUCAAACAAUUCCUACAGUGGGACAAAAAACAAAUCAUAUUUCUAUAAUAUGUUUCUAAAAGAAGAUAAAACAAAAAUUAGGAUAUACAUAAACAUAGUUACACACACAAAUAAACACACCUGCACACAAAAAUACACAUACAUACAUACUUGCACACAUAGAUACACAUCAACCUACGAAAAUCAAAACAAAACUCCAAAUUAAAGCAACUAAAUUAAAAUAUCAUUAGUAAAACAUGGAUGUGAUUAAUAGAGAAGAAGAAGUAACAUAGGCAGAUUUCUAGUCCUUCCCUUCAUAGGCAUCCUAGACCACCAUGAUCUGCUCUCUCCACUUAUCUACUGAUCGAAAAUCAAACAACACAAAUCAAUAAUUUUUCUGAUUAAAGAAUCUAUACGUGUCAAUUUUUACUAUUUUUUCUCUAUGGAGUUGGAGAUGUGCUGGAGAUUUGAUGUAUCUGAAGAAAAUCUGAUGAAUUCUCCGGGGGUGGUGAAUGGUUCAGUGGGUGGCGGUGACGGUGAAAGUAACAACGACAGUAAUUAGGGUGGGGCUAGGGUUUUCAGUAAGAAUUCUAGAUAGUUAAACAAAGGGACCGAUGAUGGAGAAGUGAGAAGUGGUAGUGGGGAUUUUGAGAACAUAGUGCUUCUAUGGUGGCGGUGAAGGAGAAGAUGGUCAUUGAAGGUGUCAUGGUGAAAGCUGCAAAUGGUAGUGGCAGUCGAAGCAACAACAGCGACGAACAAAGCAGAAGGUGGGCUUCUAGGGCUUCGAUCUGACCUUGAAUCGAAACAAUCUGCAAGUCGAAGGAAUAUAAGGAGACGGGGCCGAGAUAAUUGGGAUUUAAGUUUGAAUCUAACUAAAA